Molecule: ribosomal RNA, 303 nt
Filed under: uncultured bacterium
Lineage: Bacteria
Description: bacterial SSU rRNA
Rfam family: Bacterial small subunit ribosomal RNA
Source: RNAcentral
GACGAACGCUGGCGGCGUGCCUAAUACAUGCAAGUCGAGCGAACAUUUGAGAGCUUGCUCUCAAAUGUUAGCGGCGGACGGGUGAGUAACACGUGGGCAACCUGCCUAUAAGACUGGGAUAACUUCGGGAAACUGGAGCUAAUACCGGAUAAUUCACAUCUACUCAUGUAGAUGUGCUGAAAGACGGUUUACGCUGUCACUUAUAGAUGGGGCCCGCGGUGCAUUAGCUAGUUGGUGAGGUAACGGCUCACCAAGGCCACGAUGCGUAGCCGACCUGAGAGGGUGAUCGGCCACACUGGGACU